GAAUUUUCUGUACCGGUACCCACUCCUAAUAAUAUGUUUUCUUCUUUGCAAGGCCCAACGAGUGCAGUCUAUAUCGGACUGGAGUUCGGUGGAAGGUGGACAGAUGGAUCCCGGCUUUCCUACACCAACUGGGCUUCCGGUGAACCUAACGGCAAAUCAUACAUGUCUCUGUCACCUUCUUGUGCCGUCAUAUACUCCAAGAAGGACAAGUUCUGGGUCGGUGGGCCUUACAGGAAUAAAGGAGAAUGGACGGACAUGCGAUGUGAUUACUUACUGUCUUACAUUUGCAAGGCUCCAAAAUAAGAGCAUUUAUAGAGUCGUUUGUGGUCAUUUGUGGUGUUAAGGCAGACCCGUAGGGACCUCAAAAAUGUAGACAACUUUAGUCAGUUUAACUUAAGUGUAGAACGUCGCGUUUUAGGAAUACAACGUUGCCAUAUUGUGUCGAGAUUUUAACCUCCUGUAUAUGUUAUACUUUAAAUGUUACAUUUUAACAUUUCUCAAUAUCUGUUAUAUUGAUAUCAGAAAUGCAUUUCUCUUUUGUACAUUGUGCGAGGCAAUUUAGUUUUCGGACUUCUUUCUUGUGCUUGAAAUUGUGUGUUCCAGUUCUCUCUCUAUCAAUGUCUAAGGCAUACAGGUGGCACUUACAGUGCACGUGACCAAACAAACUUAAGACAAUUUUAGAAGGAUAUGAGAGAUAGAAGUACAUGCCUUCUUGUUGAUGCUUUGCAGAGAUGGAGUUGCAGAUGCUUUAACAAUGCCUGAUGUAGUAUUCAUGCUGGCUGUACUAUUACAUUUAACUAAAGGCAAGACUUUUAUUAAGUAGCAGAACAAUGUAUUUGUCGUAUGAGGAUGUAUAUGUUGACGUCCCUAAACUGAGGAGGUUUGACGGCUAGAUCGAAAGUUGUAGCAGCGUGUAUAAGGAAUAUACAAAAACAAGUCUAAAGCUAUUUCCAUGACAUAAAGAAUCACAUCAGCACAAAGAGAGAAAAAUAUAACAACUUUUAACAGUAUAUGUCUAUUUAAUAUGAUUGCAUAGUUUCUAAUAUAGAAAGCGUAUGAACUUUACGUAGUGAUUACCUGCACAUGUAUCAUAACACCAAAUGUGACAAUAAAACCAAUGCAAUAUCACACAGAUGACAAAAUGUUAGUGUCUAUACAACCGAUAAGCUAUUUUCUGACAUGUCGAAAGGAAAGCAAUCUGCAUAGUUGUAAAAAAAAGUAAGAGAUCUUAAACAGAAGCACACAAUUGCUCUUGUUUUAUGAUAUAGGUUCUUAGUACUAGUAGGUGACAAGAAGUUGUAAGGCAGUUUAGUAUGCUAUUCAUGUUAAUUCGUUUGCUUCAAAGACAUCACUGAUAGAUUGUAGUAAACUAAGAAUGGAAUGAUAAAUGCUAUAUACAGUGUAAGUU
Molecule: long non-coding RNA, 1408 nt
Organism: Branchiostoma floridae (Florida lancelet)
Lineage: Eukaryota; Metazoa; Chordata; Leptocardii; Amphioxiformes; Branchiostomatidae
Exons: 2
Source: RefSeq, a predicted model, not a curated record